Eriocheir sinensis (Chinese mitten crab) is the source of this 345-nucleotide long non-coding RNA. RefSeq lists it as uncharacterized. NCBI's taxonomy places the organism in Eukaryota, Metazoa, Arthropoda, Malacostraca, Decapoda, Varunidae. The record is from RefSeq and is a predicted model, not a curated record. The transcript has 3 exons.
GUUGUGUGGAGUCGGUAUUUUAAUCAAGGUUGUGUGGAGUCGGUAUUUUAAUCAAGGUUGUGUGGAGUCGGUAUUUUAAUCAAGGUUGUGUGGAGUCGGUAUUUUAAUCAAGGUUGUGUGGAGUCGGUAUUUUAAUCAAGGUUGUGUGGAGUCGGUAUUUUAAUCAAGGUUGUGUGGAGUCGGUAUUUUAAUCAAGGUUGUGUGGAGUCGGUAUUUUAAUCAAGGUUGUGUGGAGUCGGUAUUUUAAUCAAGGUUGUGUGGAGUCGGUAUUUUAAUCAGGGUUGUGUGGAGUCGGUAUUUUAAUCAGGGUUGUGUGGAGUCGGUAUUUUAAUCAGGGUUGUGUGG